CGCGGCCCCCCACUCCGACGGCCGCCUCCCCGUGCGCCCCCCAGCGCUGACCCCGCGCCGCCGCCGCCGUCGGGAGAGACGGUGCCCAGGGAGGCCCUCGCAGCGGCCGCAGAGGCCCCGGAGGAGCCCGCCGCAGGUAUUGGGCUUGAGGGCAAGGAAGCAGAAGUGACUAAGGCCCUGACCCUCCCUUCAGGGAGUUCACCUUCAGGUCGAAGUGGCCCCCUUUCAGGGGCAUUUGCAUUCCGAGCCUGGCUCUGUAACUGGGAAGUGAAAGGCUCCCCAAGGCCCCGCCUCCUUACCCUGAAGCCAGGGGACUGCCCUCCGCCUGGGCUGCUCUGAUGCGUCACGUCCCGGCUUGAAUCCUAUCGGAUGUCUCUCUACAUUUUACGGGUGAAGUCCUCACACCUGCGAAGCCGGUUCACUCGUGCUGGUCUCCAGCCCUACCCACCGUGACCUGCCGCGUCUAGUCCUGAGGGAGAGAGAAAGAGAGGUGGAGAAACAUCGAUGGAAGACAGCUGGCUGCCUCUCGCAGGCGCACCCUACUGAGGACCUGGCCAGCAACCCACGAUGGAAAGGAAGCUUCCUUUUCAGUCCUGAAAAGGUUUGACUUGCAUUUGAAGGAGCAGUAGUUGGACAAUUUCCUGAAGAGAUGCAACCUUAUAAACAGUCCCACUGGCACGAGUUACUUGGAUGUCCCCAGAAUCGUUCGGGAUCACAGUGAAGAAGGGAUCGUGCACAAAGUCCUCUCGCAGGCCACACACAGGCCGCAGAUACUCCAUGUUGCUAUUGCCAUUCUUCUAGUCCAUGAAGGUCGACCAGGCCACUGAUGAACUCUGAGUGGGCUCAGCUCCUUGGAGGCGCCGCCUUGUGGUGCAGUGUCUUCCUGGGGACCUUGCAUAAACGGACAGGCAGUAGACAGGUCUGUAGACCACCUAUGAGGACCAACUCUUGGUCUCCAACCCAUUCUCUCUGUUGAAGCCGAAGAGGUCUUCCUAAAUUUGAAGCCAAUCAAAUUUGGUCAUUGGGAACAAAAGGGCUAUAGGUUGAAACUACUCUGUAUUAUGACUGAUGUUAUUAGUAUCAUUAUUAAAAUUACUUCAUAUCAGAACCA
This is a long non-coding RNA of Pteronotus mesoamericanus, 1111 nucleotides long. RefSeq lists it as uncharacterized. The record is from RefSeq and is a predicted model, not a curated record. Lineage: Eukaryota; Metazoa; Chordata; Mammalia; Chiroptera; Mormoopidae. The transcript is spliced from 4 exons.